Molecule: long non-coding RNA, 439 nt
Filed under: Daucus carota (carrot)
Lineage: Eukaryota; Viridiplantae; Streptophyta; Magnoliopsida; Apiales; Apiaceae
Description: long non-coding RNA (DCAR_LNC000272)
Source: RNAcentral
AAUAAUAUUUACCAGUCAUCAUAUAUGACACCAAAAUACCUCUUUAAGGCACAAUUAUGCAAUCAAUUAUGACCCCCAAAAAUGGUACUCAAGACUACUAAAAAGUCACUAAACAAGCCCAAGACUUGACCGUCAAGAAAUGGCACGCAAUUAUUCAUCAAUCUCCACUAAAACAAAACAUCUAAAAUCACGAAUUAUAUUUAUAUUAAAAUCAUUUAUGAAUAAUAAAAGAAAAUUAUAUGAUAUUUAUAACACAUUUGAACUAUAUAAAUUUGUUAUAAGAUAGAAUUAACAACAUUUAUUUAAAAAAUUUCAAAAUUUGAAUAUUCGAAACUUAAUAAAAGUAAUCAAUUUUGAGAAAGUAACUGAUUAUAGUAAAUACUCCUAAUUUAAGAAUAGUUGACCAAGUUCUUUAAAAUACAAAGAACACAUUUAAAGA